GUAAUCAGUGGACCUGAGGACAGAAGAGUUUGAGUCCACAGUGUGCACACCCUCGGCAUAGAAAGGCUUUUAAACCUUUGAAUGGGCAAGAGACCUGCAUAAGUCAGAAGUCGUUGAAAAUAACCCUGUUGAGUGACAGGGAUCGUUUGGAAACGACACCGCAUGGACGUGUGAAACCCCCGGCGCACAGAUUUGAAUUUAAAUCGAAGAAACGCGAACAAUGCGCCUGUCGUAAUUCCUUUCGACGCCGCGCUAAUCUCCCGAAUGGAAAG
This is a long non-coding RNA of Anguilla anguilla (European eel), 272 nucleotides long. RefSeq lists it as uncharacterized. NCBI's taxonomy places the organism in Eukaryota, Metazoa, Chordata, Actinopteri, Anguilliformes, Anguillidae. The transcript is spliced from 2 exons. The record is from RefSeq and is a predicted model, not a curated record.